This 731-nucleotide ribosomal RNA is filed under the name Glutamicibacter protophormiae. RNAcentral's name for it is "bacterial SSU rRNA". It matches the Rfam family "Bacterial small subunit ribosomal RNA", at positions 56 to 799 of the family's 1533-position model. Lineage: Bacteria; Bacillati; Actinomycetota; Actinomycetes; Micrococcales; Micrococcaceae. The record is from RNAcentral.
UGCAAGUCGAACGAUGAAGCCCAGCUUGCUGGGUGGAUUAGUGGCGAACGGGUGAGUAACACGUGAGUAACCUGCCCCUGACUCUGGGAUAAGCCCGGGAAACUGGGUCUAAUACCGGAUAUGACUUUUGACCGCAUGGUUGAGGGUGGAAAGAUUUAUCGGUUGGGGAUGGACUCGCGGCCUAUCAGCUUGUUGGUGAGGUAAUGGCUCACCAAGGCGACGACGGGUAGCCGGCCUGAGAGGGUGACCGGCCACACUGGGACUGAGACACGGCCCAGACUCCUACGGGAGGCAGCAGUGGGGAAUAUUGCACAAUGGGCGCAAGCCUGAUGCAGCGACGCCGCGUGAGGGAUGACGGCCUUCGGGUUGUAAACCUCUUUCAGUAGGGAAGAAGCGAAAGUGACGGUACCUGCAGAAGAAGCGCCGGCUAACUACGUGCCAGCAGCCGCGGUAAUACGUAGGGCGCAAGCGUUAUCCGGAUUUAUUGGGCGUAAAGAGCUCGUAGGCGGUUUGUCGCGUCUAUCGUGAAAGUCCGAGGCUCAACCUCGGAUCUGCGGUGGGUACGGGCAGACUAGAGUGAUGUAGGGGAGACUGGAAUUCCUGGUGUAGCGGUGAAAUGCGCAGAUAUCAGGAGGAACACCGAUGGCGAAGGCAAGUCUCUGGGCUUUUGACUGACACUGAGGAGCGAAAGCAUGGGGAGCGAACAGGAUUAGAUACCCUGGUAGUCCAUG